UAGGGAAUCUUCGGCAAUGGACGGAAGUCUGACCGAGCAACGCCGCGUGAGUGAAGAAGGUAUUCGGAUCGUAAAGCUCUGUUGUUAGAGAAGAACGAUGGUAGGAGUGGAAAAUCUACCAAGUGACGGUAACUAACCAGAAAGGGACGGCUAACUACGUGCUAGCAGCCGCGGUAAUACGUAGGUCCCGAGCGUUGUCCGGAUUUAUUGGGCGUAAAGCGAGCGCAGGCGGUUCUUUAAGUCUGAAGUUAAAGGCAGUGGCUUAACCAUUGUACGCUUUGGAAACUGGAGUACUUGAGUGCAGAAGGGGAGAGUGGAAUUCCAUGUGUAGCAGUGAAAUACGUAGGUAUAUGGAGGAGCACCGGUGGCGAAAGCGGCUCUCUGGUCUGUAACUGACGCUGAGGCUCGAAAGCGUGGGGAUCAAACAGG
RNAcentral lists this ribosomal RNA (429 nucleotides) under Bacillota bacterium. Its description in RNAcentral is "Firmicutes bacterium partial 16S ribosomal RNA". It matches the Rfam family "Bacterial small subunit ribosomal RNA", at positions 355 to 776 of the family's 1533-position model. Lineage: Bacteria; Bacillati; Bacillota. The record is from RNAcentral.